GGGGGCGAAACGGCUUCGACGGGGACAAAGAAGCUCCGGCUGCAUACCGAGCAUUUCUGUCAGCUCGUAAAUCCGACGGGAACUAAACAUAAUCGCAGAUGAUUAUGCAUAUGCUCAGGCCGCAUAAAUAGGCCUGCGUCCUGUCAGGUUACUCCUGCGGACCUGAUAAGGGCGUCGACUAGCGGGAUAGUCGAUCCUGGCUGCCUGUGACAGAAUCGACGAAACUUUAGCAGGCUGGCCUUGCACGCAUCCUGCCUGAAGGAGACUUGAAAGGCGAAAUUUAAAUUUCAGGAUAAGUAUGUAGACGCCCGAGUGGAAUGUUUGCGGACGCGGGUUCGACUCCCGCCGCCUCCACCA
This 357-nucleotide transfer-messenger RNA is filed under the name Desulfobacterales bacterium. It matches the Rfam family "transfer-messenger RNA". From Rfam's summary of the family: Bacterial tmRNA, also known as 10Sa RNA or SsrA, is named for its dual tRNA and mRNA-like properties. Its role is to liberate the mRNA from a stalled ribosome. Lineage: Bacteria; Pseudomonadati; Thermodesulfobacteriota; Desulfobacteria; Desulfobacterales. The record is from RNAcentral.